GACGAACGCUGGCGGCGUGCUUAACACAUGCAAGUCGAGCGGUAAGGCCCUUUCGGGGGUACGACGAGCGGCGAACGGGUGAGUAACACGUGGGUGACCUGCCCUCAGCUCUGGGAUAAGCCUGGGAAACUGGGUCUAAUACCGGAUAUGACUCCAUGACGCAUGUUGUGGGGUGGAAAGCCUUGUGCGGCUGAGGAUGGGCCCGCGGCCUAUCAGCUUGUUGGUGGGGGNGAUGGCCUACCAAGGCGACGACGGGUAGCCGGCCUGAGAGGGCGACCGGCCACACUGGGACUGAGACACGGCCCAGACUCCUACGGGAGGGCAGCAGUGGGGAAUCUUGCGCAAUGGGCGAAAGCCUGACGCAGCGACGCCGCGUGAGGGAUGACGGCCUGGUGUAAC
This 399-nucleotide ribosomal RNA is filed under the name uncultured bacterium. RNAcentral's name for it is "bacterial SSU rRNA". It matches the Rfam family "Bacterial small subunit ribosomal RNA", at positions 28 to 429 of the family's 1533-position model. The record is from RNAcentral.